AACGCUAGCUACAGGCUUAACACAUGCAAGUCGAGGGGCAGCAUGGUCUUAGCUUGCUAAGGCCGAUGGCGACCGGCGCACGGGUGAGUAACACGUAUCCAACCUGCCGUCUACUCUUGGACAGCCUUCUGAAAGGAAGAUUAAUACAAGAUGGCAUCAUGAGUCCGCAUGUUCACAUGAUUAAAGGUAUUCCGGUAGACGAUGGGGAUGCGUUCCAUUAGAUAGUAGGCGGGGUAACGGCCCACCUAGUCUUCGAUGGAUAGGGGUUCUGAGAGGAAGGUCCCCCACAUUGGAACUGAGACACGGUCCAAACUCCUACGGGAGGCAGCAGUGAGGAAUAUUGGUCAAUGGGCGAGAACCUGAACCAGCCAAGUAGCGUGAAGGAUGACUGCCCUAUGGGUUGUAAACUUCUUUUAUAAAGGAAUAAAGUCGGGUAUGGAUACCCGUUUGCAUGUACUUUAUGAAUAAGGAUCGGCUAACUCCGUGCCAGCAGCCGCGGUAAUACGGAGGAUCCGAGCGUUAUCCGGAUUUAUUGGGUUUAAAGGGAGCGUAGAUGGAUGUUUAAGUCAGUUGUGAAAGUUUGCGGCUCAACCGUAAAAUUGCAGUUGAUACUGGAUAUCUUGAGUGCAGUUGAGGCAGGCGGAAUUCGUGGUGUAGCGGUGAAAUGCUUAGAUAUCACGAAGAACUCCGAUUGCGAAGGCAGCCUGCUAAGCUGCAACUGACAUUGAGGCUCGAAAGUGUGGGUAUCAAACAGGAUUAGAUACCCUGGUAGUCCACACGGUAAACGAUGAAUACUCGCUGUUUGCGAUAUACAGCAAGCGGCCAAGCGAAAGCGUUAAGUAUUCCACCUGGGGAGUACGCCGGCAACGGUGAAACUCAAAGGAAUUGACGGGGGCCCGCACAAGCGGAGGAACAUGUGGUUUAAUUCGAUGAUACGCGAGGAACCUUACCCGGGCUUAAAUUGCAGAUGAAUUACGGUGAAAGCCGUAAGCCGCAAGGCAUCUGUGAAGGUGCUGCAUGGUUGUCGUCAGCACGUGCCGUGAGGUGUCGGCUUAAGUGCCAUAACGAGCGCAACCCUUGUUGUCAGUUACUAACAGGUUCCGCUGAGGACUCUGACAAGACUGCCAUCGUAAGAUGUGAGGAAGGUGGGGAUGACGUCAAAUCAGCACGGCCCUUACGUCCGGGGCUACACACGUGUUACAAUGGGGGGUACAGAGGGCCGCUACCACGCGAGUGGAUGCCAAUCCCAAAAACCUCUCUCAGUUCGGACUGGAGUCUGCAACCCGACUCCACGAAGCUGGAUUCGCUAGUAAUCGCGCAUCAGCCACGGCGCGGUGAAUACGUUCCCGGGCCUUGUACACACCGCCCGUCAAGCCAUGGGAGCCGGGGGUACCUGAAGUGCGUAACCGCGAGGAGCGCCCUAGGGUAAAACUGGU
This 1436-nucleotide ribosomal RNA is filed under the name uncultured bacterium. RNAcentral's name for it is "bacterial SSU rRNA". It matches the Rfam family "Bacterial small subunit ribosomal RNA". The record is from RNAcentral.